GAUGAAGGAACGCAGCGAAAUGCGAUAAGUAAUGUGAAUUGCAGAAUUCAGUGAAUCAUCGAAUCUUUGAACGCACAUUGCGCCCGCCAGUAUUCUGGCGGGCAUGCCUGUCUGAGCGUCAUUUCAACCCUCAAGCAACUUCUGCUUGGUGUUGGGGAUCGGCCGUCAAACGCCGCCCCCGAAAUCUAUUGGCGAUCUCGCUGUAGCUUCCUAUGCGUAGUAGUAACAUCUCGCACUGGGAAACAGCGCGGCCACGCCGUUAAACCCCCAACUUCUGAACGUUUGACCUCGGAUCAGGUAGGAAUACCCGCUGAACUUAAGCAUAUCAAUAAGCGGAGGA
RNAcentral lists this unclassified non-coding RNA (340 nucleotides) under soil metagenome. RNAcentral describes it as "partial contains 5.8S ribosomal RNA, internal transcribed spacer 2, and large subunit ribosomal RNA". The stretch from base 1 to 121 matches the Rfam family "5.8S ribosomal RNA", at positions 35 to 154 of the family's 154-position model. The record is from RNAcentral.